Salmo salar (Atlantic salmon) is the source of this 56-nucleotide non-coding RNA. The record is from Rfam. Lineage: Eukaryota; Metazoa; Chordata; Actinopteri; Salmoniformes; Salmonidae.
GCUCAGUUGGUAGAGCAUGGUGUUUGCAACGCCAGGGUUGUGGGUUCAAUUCCCAC